GAUGAACGCUAGCUACAGGCUUAACACAUGCAAGUCGAGGGGUAACAAGAGAAAAGCUUGCUUUUCUUGUUGACGACCGGCGCACGGGUGAGUAACGCGUAUCCAACCUGCCUAUAACUAGGGAAUAACCUUGCGAAAGUAAGACUAAUACCCUAUGAUUUCCUCUGAUGACAUCAGAUUAGGAAUAAAGAUUUAUCGGUUAUAGAUGGGGAUGCGUCUGAUUAGCUUGUUGGCGGGGUAACGGCCCACCAAGGCAACGAUCAGUAGGGGUUCUGAGAGGAAGGUCCCCCACAUUGGAACUGAGACACGGUCCAAACUCCUACGGGAGGCAGCAGUGAGGAAUACUGGUCAAUGGGCGGAAGCCUGAACCAGCCAAGCAGCGUGCAGGAUGACGGCCCUAUGGGUUGUAAACUGCUUUUAUACAGGAAUAAAGUUAGCCACGUGUGGUUAUUUGUAGGUACUGUAUGAAUAAGGACCGGCUGAUUCCGUGCCAGCAGCCGCAGUAA
RNAcentral lists this ribosomal RNA (506 nucleotides) under uncultured bacterium. Its description in RNAcentral is "partial 16S ribosomal RNA". It matches the Rfam family "Bacterial small subunit ribosomal RNA", at positions 28 to 523 of the family's 1533-position model. The record is from RNAcentral.